RNAcentral lists this ribosomal RNA (561 nucleotides) under Triticum aestivum (bread wheat). Its description in RNAcentral is "partial small subunit ribosomal RNA". Lineage: Eukaryota; Viridiplantae; Streptophyta; Magnoliopsida; Poales; Poaceae. The record is from RNAcentral.
AUGCCCUCCCAUCCCCAUCCCCAUUUAGAUCCAAUCGAAACAAAGAGGGCUACGAUUCAUCGUCGCCGCCGUCUCGAGACAACGACGCCGCCCCCCACGACGCAUCCACUGUCGUCGCUGGCUCCCUCCGUCGCCGGCCCUGAGCUCCCCUGCGACCGCCGCCUCCCUCCGUCGCCCGUCUCCUCCGGUGCCCGUGUGCCCAUCCGUCGCCGGCCCCUCCACGCUGACCCGUCCUCGCCGGCUUUCUCCUGCCUGACGCCAAUGACGAGGACACGAGCGGGAGCUGCGGCAUCGAGAAAAGAGGAAAAAGAGAGGGGAAUGGAGGAGGGCUCACUGGGGAGCUCGAACCCGAGCUCAGGGAAGCCGGGGGCGGAUCGUGGCGGUGGGAAUCGGCGGCGGACGGCGGUGACGCGAGGUGAGGAUGGAGAGGAAGAGGAACCUCCUGGUGGCGCCCAUGGAGCCGGGACAGAAGGAGGACAAAGGGAAGAGAAGAGGGCGUCGCAGGGUUGUUGCCGUCGUCAGCUGGCGGCGCUUCGGCGGCGAGGUCGCCGGUGCUGCUGA